GUAGGGGUGCAAGCGUUAAUCGGAAUUACUGGGCGUAAAGCGUGCGCAGGGCGGUUUUGUAAGUCUGUCGUGAAAGCCCCGGGGCUCAACCUGGGAAUUGCGAUGGAGACUGCAAGGCUUGAAUCUGGCAGAGGGGGGUAGAAUUCCACGUGUAGCAGUGAAAUGCGUAGAGAUGUGGAGGAACACCGAUGGCGAAGGCAGCCCCCUGGGUCAAGAUUGACGCUCAUGCACGAAAGCGUGGGGAGCAAACAGGAUUAGAUACCCUGGUAGUCCACGCCCUAAACGAUGUCUACUAGUUGUCGGGUUUUAAUUAACUUGGUAACGCAGCUAACGCGUGAAGUAGACCGCCUGGGGAGUACGGUCGCAAGAUUA
This 372-nucleotide ribosomal RNA is filed under the name uncultured organism. Its description in RNAcentral is "partial 16S ribosomal RNA". It matches the Rfam family "Bacterial small subunit ribosomal RNA", at positions 526 to 896 of the family's 1533-position model. The record is from RNAcentral.